Molecule: unclassified non-coding RNA, 246 nt
Filed under: uncultured fungus
Lineage: Eukaryota; Fungi
Description: sequence contains ITS2
Source: RNAcentral
AACGCACAUUGCGCCUGCUGGUAAUCCGGCAGGCAUGCCUGUUCGAGCGUCAUUUCACCCCUCGAGCCUCUGGGCUUGGUGUUGGAGAGCUACUCGCAAGAGUAGCCUCUGAAAGAAAGCGGCGGAUCGUAUCGUCUCCCAGCGUAGUGAAUCUCUUCGCGAGGAUGAUGGUGCGGCUCUAGCCAUAUGCAAGUCUUACGACUAAGAAAACGACCUCGGACAGGUAGGAAUACCCGCUGAACUUAA